This 253-nucleotide ribosomal RNA is filed under the name uncultured bacterium. Its description in RNAcentral is "partial 16S ribosomal RNA". It matches the Rfam family "Bacterial small subunit ribosomal RNA", at positions 524 to 776 of the family's 1533-position model. The record is from RNAcentral.
UACGUAGGGUGCGAGCGUUGCCCGGAUUUAUUGGGCGUAAAGAGCUUGUAGGCGGUUUGUCGCGUCUGCCGUGAAAAUCCGGGGCUCAACCCCGGACUUGCGGUGGGUACGGGCAGACUAGAGUGUGGUAGGGGAGACUGGAAUUCCUGGUGUAGCGGUGAAAUGCGCAGAUAUCAGGAGGAACACCGAUGGCGAAGGCAGGUCUCUGGGCCACUACUGACGCUGAGAAGCGAAAGCGUGGGGAGCGAACAGG